UACGGAGGGCGCAAGCGUUGUUCGGAAUUAUUGGGCGUAAAGCGCGUGUAGGUGGCUUGGUAAGUUGGAUGUGAAAGCCCGGGGCCCAACCCCGGAACUGCAUUCAAAACUCCCAAGCUAGAGUCCCGGAGAGGAUGGCGGAAUUCCCGGUGUAGAGGUGAAAUUCGUAGAUAUCGGGAGGAACACCAGUGGCGAAGGCGGCCAUCUGGACGGUGACUGACACUGAGACGCGAAAGCGUGGGGAGCAAACAGGAUUAGAUACCCCGGUA
This 269-nucleotide ribosomal RNA is filed under the name uncultured prokaryote. Its description in RNAcentral is "partial 16S ribosomal RNA". It matches the Rfam family "Bacterial small subunit ribosomal RNA", at positions 524 to 792 of the family's 1533-position model. The record is from RNAcentral.